Molecule: long non-coding RNA, 351 nt
Filed under: Anser brachyrhynchus (Pink-footed goose)
Lineage: Eukaryota; Metazoa; Chordata; Aves; Anseriformes; Anatidae
Description: lncRNA (ENSABRG00000019702.1)
Source: RNAcentral
UUCAGAAUGUAUCAGGCUAGACUUGUACGUACUGCCAAGUGGCCCCAGCCUGGGUUAUAUUCCUUUCACUGAUCACGCUGAUAGAUGUUUCCCUGUUUCUCUGGGUUUGCACUGAUCUAUGAGGAUGCUUUGUAACCAAAGAACCCCCAGAGAUGAUCAAGGAGACAUUUUCUAGGUGCUGUACCAACACAGAGGAAUGCUGAGCAACUUCCGUAUUACUUUGGAGCUCCAGAGACACAAGUGAUGAGGAAGAGUGUUACACAGCGAUUUCUCAAGGACAUGGCAGUAGAGAGGAGGUCAGAUGAGUGGAUCAUAGACAGGUGUGGAGAUGGAGUGCAGAAGGAAAAAAUC